UGGGGAAUAUUGGACAAUGGGCGCAAGCCUGAUCCAGCCAUGCUGCGUGAGUGAUGAAGGCCCUAGGGUUGUAAAGCUCUUUCACCGGUGAAGAUAAUGACGGUAACCGGAGAAGAAGCCCCGGUUAACUUCGUGCCAGCAGCCGCGGUAAUACGAAGGGGGCUAGCGUUGUUCGGAUUUACUGGGCGUAAAGCGCACGUAGGCGGACUAUUAAGUCAGGGGUGGAAUCCCGGGGCUCAACCCCGGAACUGCCUUUGAUACUGGUAGUCUUGAGUUCGAGAGAGGUGAGUGGAAUUCCGAGUGUAGAGGUGAAAUUCGUAGAUAUUCGGAGGAACACCAGUGGCGAAGGCGGCUCACUGGCUCGAUACUGACGCUGAGGUGCGAAAGCGUGGGGAGCAAACAGG
This 404-nucleotide ribosomal RNA is filed under the name Actinomycetes bacterium. Its description in RNAcentral is "Actinobacteria bacterium partial 16S ribosomal RNA". It matches the Rfam family "Bacterial small subunit ribosomal RNA", at positions 355 to 776 of the family's 1533-position model. The record is from RNAcentral. Lineage: Bacteria; Bacillati; Actinomycetota; Actinomycetes.